Molecule: long non-coding RNA, 770 nt
Organism: Oxyura jamaicensis (ruddy duck)
Lineage: Eukaryota; Metazoa; Chordata; Aves; Anseriformes; Anatidae
Exons: 2
Source: RefSeq, a predicted model, not a curated record
GUUCCAAUUCCAAACAGCUGCUGGUGCUAAUCUUUCGGUUAUUUGCAAUCAGGAGGAAGAAAUACCCACACCCUAGAGCGCUCCGAUAUUAGCCCUGCCAGCGGAGCAAAGAGACCACUGGAGGCCGAAGCAACGGAGGAAAACAAAACCCACCAGAUUUACUGAACCCGGUUUAACUCUGAGCCUUUCAGGGGGCGUGAGGAGCCCGGCCAGCCCAUGUGUCAUCCAUCCCCGCGACUCCCGGCUCUUCGGGGUUAACGAUUCAGACACCACUGAGAGCUCUGGGACUGCAACUUGGCUUAGAUAGCGUCUCAGCCCUGGGGCAAUUCCUCUAAAUCAAUUUUCAAAACAAUCAGUUUAGGGGCUUUUAAUUAAGCUUUAAACCAGUGGUUAAAAAUAGCAGUUUACUUCUUUGGGAUGCAAACUAGGCUAGCAUAAAAAUAAAUCAGAGAGACGGUCCCGCUGCCUUUUGGGAUUCAGGGCAGCGUAGAUUAUUAACGUCCCAAGAUUACGAGGAUUUUUCUUUCUUCCGAUACUUAUUCUCCCUCUCGCAGCAGCUGCUCUUUCCCUGCCAGACACCGAACUGUCCACAGGUCUGCAAAGACGGGGGAUCCCGUGCGGCUUCCCCAGAGAGAAAACUCAGCGAGGUAACCCAGGUAGCCCCGGCCGGAGUACCGCUGCGAGCAGCAGGUUCACCGCCUUUUUCUUUAUAUAUACAGAAGGGAAAAAAAUGAAAACAAACAAACACACACACAAAAUAAAUAAAUAAA